UUAAGCGACUAAGCGUACACGGUGGAUGCCCUGGCAGUCAGAGGCGAUGAAGGACGUGCUAAUCUGCGAUAAGCGUCGGUAAGGUGAUAUGAACCGUUAUAACCGGCGAUUUCCGAAUGGGGAAACCCAGUGUGAUUCGUCACACUAUCAUUAACUGAAUCCAUAGGUUAAUGAGGCGAACCGGGGGAACUGAAACAUCUAAGUACCCCGAGGAAAAGAAAUCAACCGAGAUUCCCCCAGUAGCGGCGAGCGAACGGGGAGCAGCCCAGAGCCUGAAUCAGUGUGUGUGUUAGUGGAAGCGUCUGGAAAGGCGCGCGAUACAGGGUGACAGCCCCGUACACAAAAAUGCACAUACUGUGAGCUCGAUGAGUAGGGCGGGACACGUGGUAUCCUGUCUGAAUAUGGGGGGACCAUCCUCCAAGGCUAAAUACUCCUGACUGACCGAUAGUGAACCAGUACCGUGAGGGAAAGGCGAAAAGAACCCCGGCGAGGGGAGUGAAAAAGAACCUGAAACCGUGUACGUACAAGCAGUGGGAGCCUCUUUUAUGGGGUGACUGCGUACCUUUUGUAUAAUGGGUCAGCGACUUAUAUUCUGUAGCAAGGUUAACCGAAUAGGGGAGCCGAAGGGAAACCGAGUCUUAACCGGGCGUUAAGUUGCAGGGUAUAGACCCGAAACCCGGUGAUCUAGCCAUGGGCAGGUUGAAGGUUGGGUAACACUAACUGGAGGACCGAACCGACUAAUGUUGAAAAAUUAGCGGAUGACUUGUGGCUGGGGGUGAAAGGCCAAUCAAACCGGGAGAUAGCUGGUUCUCCCCGAAAGCUAUUUAGGUAGCGCCUCGUGAAUUCAUCUCCGGGGGUAGAGCACUGUUUCGGCAAGGGGGUCAUCCCGACUUACCAACCCGAUGCAAACUGCGAAUACCGGAGAAUGUUAUCACGGGAGACACACGGCGGGUGCUAACGUCCGUCGUGAAGAGGGAAACAACCCAGACCGCCAGCUAAGGUCCCAAAGUCAUGGUUAAGUGGGAAACGAUGUGGGAAGGCCCAGACAGCCAGGAUGUUGGCUUAGAAGCAGCCAUCAUUUAAAGAAAGCGUAAUAGCUCACUGGUCGAGUCGGCCUGCGCGGAAGAUGUAACGGGGCUAAACCAUGCACCGAAGCUGCGGCAGCGACACUGUGUGUUGUUGGGUAGGGGAGCGUUCUGUAAGCCUGUGAAGGUGUACUGUGAGGUAUGCUGGAGGUAUCAGAAGUGCGAAUGCUGACAUAAGUAACGAUAAAGCGGGUGAAAAGCCCGCUCGCCGGAAGACCAAGGGUUCCUGUCCAACGUUAAUCGGGGCAGGGUGAGUCGACCCCUAAGGCGAGGCCGAAAGGCGUAGUCGAUGGGAAACAGGUUAAUAUUCCUGUACUUGGUGUUACUGCGAAGGGGGACGGAGAAGGCUAUGUUGGCCGGGCGACGGUUGUCCCGGUUUAAGCGUGUAGGCUGGUUUUCCAGGCAAAUCCGGAAAAUCAAGGCUGAGGCGUGAUGACGAGGCACUACGGUGCUGAAGCAACAAAUGCCCUGCUUCCAGGAAAAGCCUCUAAGCAUCAGGUAACAUCAAAUCGUACCCCAAACCGACACAGGUGGUCAGGUAGAGAAUACCAAGGCGCUUGAGAGAACUCGGGUGAAGGAACUAGGCAAAAUGGUGCCGUAACUUCGGGAGAAGGCACGCUGAUAUGUAGGUGAAGUCCCUCGCGGAUGGAGCUGAAAUCAGUCGAAGAUACCAGCUGGCUGCAACUGUUUAUUAAAAACACAGCACUGUGCAAACACGAAAGUGGACGUAUACGGUGUGACGCCUGCCCGGUGCCGGAAGGUUAAUUGAUGGGGUCAGCGCAAGCGAAGCUCUUGAUCGAAGCCCCGGUAAACGGCGGCCGUAACUAUAACGGUCCUAAGGUAGCGAAAUUCCUUGUCGGGUAAGUUCCGACCUGCACGAAUGGCGUAAUGAUGGCCAGGCUGUCUCCACCCGAGACUCAGUGAAAUUGAACUCGCUGUGAAGAUGCAGUGUACCCGCGGCAAGACGGAAAGACCCCGUGAACCUUUACUAUAGCUUGACACUGAACAUUGAGCCUUGAUGUGUAGGAUAGGUGGGAGGCUUUGAAGUGUGGACGCCAGUCUGCAUGGAGCCGACCUUGAAAUACCACCCUUUAAUGUUUGAUGUUCUAACGUGGACCCGUGAUCCGGGUUGCGGACAGUGUCUGGUGGGUAGUUUGACUGGGGCGGUCUCCUCCUAAAGAGUAACGGAGGAGCACGAAGGUUGGCUAAUCCUGGUCGGACAUCAGGAGGUUAGUGCAAUGGCAUAAGCCAGCUUGACUGCGAGCGUGACGGCGCGAGCAGGUGCGAAAGCAGGUCAUAGUGAUCCGGUGGUUCUGAAUGGAAGGGCCAUCGCUCAACGGAUAAAAGGUACUCCGGGGAUAACAGGCUGAUACCGCCCAAGAGUUCAUAUCGACGGCGGUGUUUGGCACCUCGAUGUCGGCUCAUCACAUCCUGGGGCUGAAGUAGGUCCCAAGGGUAUGGCUGUUCGCCAUUUAAAGUGGUACGCGAGCUGGGUUUAGAACGUCGUGAGACAGUUCGGUCCCUAUCUGCCGUGGGCGCUGGAGAACUGAGGGGGGCUGCUCCUAGUACGAGAGGACCGGAGUGGACGCAUCACUGGUGUUCGGGUUGUCAUGCCAAUGGCACUGCCCGGUAGCUAAAUGCGGAAGAGAUAAGUGCUGAAAGCAUCUAAGCACGAAACUUGCCCCGAGAUGAGUUCUCCCUGACCCUUUAAGGGUCCUGAAGGAACGUUGAAGACGACGACGUUGAUAGGCCGGGUGUGUAAGCGCAGCGAUGCGUUGAGCUAACCGGUACUAAUGAACCGUGAGGCUUAACCUU
RNAcentral lists this ribosomal RNA (2900 nucleotides) under Escherichia coli DEC3F. RNAcentral's name for it is "bacterial LSU rRNA". It matches the Rfam family "Bacterial large subunit ribosomal RNA". The record is from RNAcentral. Lineage: Bacteria; Pseudomonadati; Pseudomonadota; Gammaproteobacteria; Enterobacterales; Enterobacteriaceae.